This 351-nucleotide ribosomal RNA is filed under the name uncultured bacterium. RNAcentral's name for it is "partial 16S ribosomal RNA". It matches the Rfam family "Bacterial small subunit ribosomal RNA", at positions 338 to 706 of the family's 1533-position model. The record is from RNAcentral.
CCUACGGGGGGCAGCAGUGGGGGAUAUUGCACAAUGGGGGGAACCCUGAUGCAGCGACGCCGCGUGGGUGAAGAAGCGCCUCGGCGCGUAAAGCCCUGUCAGCAGGGAAGAAAAUGACGGUACCUGAAGAAGAAGCCCCGGCUAACUACGUGCCAGCAGCCGCGGUAAUACGUAGGGGGCAAGCGUUAUCCGGAUUUACUGGGUGUAAAGGGGGCGCAGACGGCGAUGCAAGCCAGGAGUGAAAGCCCGGGGCCCAACCCCGGGACUGCUCGUGGAACUGCGUGGCUGGAGUGCAGGAGGGGCAGGGGGAAUUCUGGGUGAAGCGGGGAAUGGCGUAGAGAGCAGGAGGAA